RNAcentral lists this ribosomal RNA (206 nucleotides) under uncultured bacterium. Its description in RNAcentral is "partial 16S ribosomal RNA". It matches the Rfam family "Bacterial small subunit ribosomal RNA", at positions 1296 to 1500 of the family's 1533-position model. The record is from RNAcentral.
GACUGCAGGCUGCAACUCGCCUGCACGAAGUUGGAAUUGCUAGUAAUCGUGGAUCAGCAUGCCACGGUGAAUACGUUCCCGGGUCUUGUACACACCGCCCGCCACACCAUGGGAGCCGGUAAUACCCGAAGUCAGUAGUCUAACCGCAAGGAGGACGCUGCCGAAGGUAGGAUUGGCGACGUGGGGUGAAGUCGUAACAAGGUAAC